AUACGGAGGAUCCUAGCGUUAUCCGGAUUUACUGGGUUUAAAGGGUGCGUAGGCGGGCGCUUAAGUCCGCGGUGAAAGUCUGCGGCUCAACCGUAGGAUUGCCGUGGAUACUGGGCGUCUUGGAUUCGGUCGGGGCGGGCGGAAUGCGUGGUGUAGCGGUGAAAUGCAUAGAUAUCACGCAGAACGCCGAUAGCGAAGGCAGCUCGCCGGGCCGAUAUCGACGCUGAGGCACGAAAGCGUGGGGAUC
RNAcentral lists this ribosomal RNA (247 nucleotides) under uncultured bacterium. RNAcentral's name for it is "partial 16S ribosomal RNA". It matches the Rfam family "Bacterial small subunit ribosomal RNA", at positions 523 to 769 of the family's 1533-position model. The record is from RNAcentral.